AUGUCAAUGUCCUGAUUUUAGAAGUUUCUGUGACUUUUUUAUCCACGGCAGCAGUCAGGAAAUUAUUUCUUCAGUUUAUUAUCUCUUUGAAAUGCUUACAGGGAUGUACGUGCAACAUCAUAUGCUGAUUGCCAUGGAUGGAACUAGCCGACUAGCUUCCCUGCAGUUUCUUGCUGGUAAAUCAUGCAAAUUCGGUUGCUGGCUUAAUGGUAUGUAGCAUCUCCUUAUAUGAUAGGUUGAUAUGGGCAUCAUCUUUUUGGCCACAGUAACUUGUUCCGGUCAUUGCUUCGUUCUGUUAUAUUGUUCUGCAAAAUAGAACGCUGGCAUUUUCUUUGUAUGAACAUUUAGCUAGUUUUGCUUCGUGAUAGCAUCUGACAUUCUGGGCAGAACAUUUGAUGCAGAUGCACAAACAAUUCUAGCUCGCGAAGGAAAUAUUGAUUUAUCAUUUUUCCAAAGGUACUAUUAUAAUGCCAUGUGGUCUAGCUACUAUUUGAGAUUUUUUAUUUUGAGGUUCCUCAUUUCUUUAAGGUGAAUGCUUGAUGUGUUCUUUCUUGAAGAAAUGAACUAAGAUCCUUCAUCAUCCCUUAUUAUAUCAGUGCUUUAUUAUAAUGUUCUAUCAUCCCUCAUCAUCAUAGUAUUAAACAAGAGCUGUCAUUGGGUGCAUUUUUCUAUUAAUUACUUGCUAUAUCAUCCUCAUCUACUCAGUGUUUUUCUAAUUAAAGUUUAUUAUGUUUCAGCAUUAAGUUUGUCAUUUUGUUCUCACUUUUCUUGAGCAGGUCAUUACAGGGUGGAAGUCUAAAAUAGUGGAGGUCUAAUCGUUGCUUGGCUAUUGCAACCAGUGGAGGUCUAAACCAGCAAAGGACCGGGGUGGAAGUCUAAAAUAGUGGAGGUUUGUGGUGGAUUAAAUGAGUCGUACGUUGAGCUGGAGAUACUUGUGAAUUCACAAGAAAAUUGUACCAGAUGGCUAGCUAGUUGCAUAUUUAAUAUGUUUAAUAUUUUUGUAAGGCAUAAUAGUAUAGAUAGAGCAGUUGUUGAAUUUUGACUAUAUUCAAAUCUUGUAUGAAUUCUUUUUUAUGAUAAUAAUAUAAAAUUAAAUAUUUUGGA
Long non-coding RNA from Salvia miltiorrhiza (redroot sage), 1104 nucleotides. RefSeq lists it as uncharacterized. The record is from RefSeq and is a predicted model, not a curated record. Lineage: Eukaryota; Viridiplantae; Streptophyta; Magnoliopsida; Lamiales; Lamiaceae. The transcript is spliced from 2 exons.